This 458-nucleotide ribosomal RNA is filed under the name Ophiocordyceps unilateralis. Its description in RNAcentral is "eukaryotic LSU rRNA". The stretch from base 164 to 317 matches the Rfam family "5.8S ribosomal RNA". The record is from RNAcentral. Lineage: Eukaryota; Fungi; Ascomycota; Sordariomycetes; Hypocreales; Ophiocordycipitaceae.
UUUUAUUGAACCGCUCGAGGCCCCUGUUGCCCGACCUCCAACCCUUUUGUGAACCAACCUCGUUGCUUCGGGGGCGACCCCGCCGUUCGCGCGGCGUGCGGCGCCCCCGGAGGCCAUCAAACACUGCGUAACCUUGCGUCGGAGUCUUGAUUAAAUCAAACAAAACUUUCAACAACGGAUCUCUUGGUUCUGGCAUCGAUGAAGAACGCAGCGAAAUGCGAUAAGUAAUGUGAAUUGCAGAAUUCAGUGAAUCAUCGAAUCUUUGAACGCACAUUGCGCCCUUUGGUAUUCCGAAGGGCAUGCCUGUUCGAGCGUCAUUACACCACUCAAGCCUGGCUUGGUGUUGGGCGUCGCGGGAUCCCCCGCGCGCCUUAAAGUCCUUUCCGGCUGGGUCGUCUUGUCUCCAAGCGUUGUGGCAAACUCGCGGCGAGAUCGGGCGGCGCGGCCGUUAAAUCUAG